RNAcentral lists this transfer RNA (69 nucleotides) under Mamestra configurata (bertha armyworm). Its description in RNAcentral is "tRNA-Leu". Lineage: Eukaryota; Metazoa; Arthropoda; Insecta; Lepidoptera; Noctuidae. The record is from RNAcentral.
ACUAUUUUGGCAGAGAAAAUGUGAUGAUUUUAGAAUUCAUUAAUAUAUAAUUUAUUUAUAUAGAUAGUA